This 433-nucleotide ribosomal RNA is filed under the name uncultured bacterium. Its description in RNAcentral is "partial 16S ribosomal RNA". It matches the Rfam family "Bacterial small subunit ribosomal RNA", at positions 29 to 507 of the family's 1533-position model. The record is from RNAcentral.
AACGAACGCUGGCGGCAGGCCUAACACAUGAAAGUCGAACGAAGUCUUCGGACUUAGUGGCGCACGGGUGAGUAACACGUGGGAAUAUACCUUACGCUGGGGGAUAACAUCGGGAAACUGAUGCUAAUACCGCAUACGCCCUUCGGGGGAAAGAUUUAUCGGCGAAAGAUUAGCCCGCGUCCGAUUAGCUAGUUGGUGAGGUAAUGGCUCACCAAGGCUCCGAUCGGUAGCUGGUCUGAGAGGAUGACCAGCCACACUGGGACUGAGACACGGCCCAGACUCCUACGGGAGGCAGCAGUGGGGAAUAUUGGACAAUGGGCGCAAGCCUGAUCCAGCCAUGCCGCGUGAGUGAUGAAGGCCUUAGGGUUGUAAAGCUCUUUCACCCACGACGAUGAUGACGGUAGUGGGAGAAGAAGCCCCGGCUAACUUCGUG